GAUAUUUUUAGAGUAUCAUAAGUCCAAAAAUUAUUUUUAUAUUGAUAAAACAAUUAGAAUGAUCUUGAUCAGUAUCAGCCCAAUAAUAUUUAUGAUACUAGUAUCAUCUGACGUGGUUUUCCCUAAUUGGUCAUAUUUGUCAAAAGCAAAAAAAAAAAAGGUACUAAAUAAACAUUAU
This 178-nucleotide small RNA is filed under the name Arabidopsis thaliana (thale cress). Its description in RNAcentral is "ATSL055700". Lineage: Eukaryota; Viridiplantae; Streptophyta; Magnoliopsida; Brassicales; Brassicaceae. The record is from RNAcentral.